CACGGGGGGAGCAAGCGUUGUUCGGAAUCACUGGGCGUAAAGGGCGUGUAGGCGGUCUGGUAAGUGGGAUGUGAAAGCCCCCGGCUCACCCGGGGAUCUGCAUUCCAUACUGCUAGACUUGAGUAUGGGAGAGGACAGGGGAAUUCCUGGUGUAGCGGUGAAAUGCGCAGAUAUCAGGAGGAACACCGGUGGCGAAGGCGGGUCUCUGGACAGUUCCUGACGCUGAGGCACGAAGGCCAGGGGAGCAAACGGG
This 253-nucleotide ribosomal RNA is filed under the name uncultured bacterium. RNAcentral's name for it is "partial 16S ribosomal RNA". It matches the Rfam family "Bacterial small subunit ribosomal RNA", at positions 524 to 776 of the family's 1533-position model. The record is from RNAcentral.